This is a non-coding RNA of Manis javanica (Malayan pangolin), 957 nucleotides long. The record is from RefSeq and is a predicted model, not a curated record. Lineage: Eukaryota; Metazoa; Chordata; Mammalia; Pholidota; Manidae.
AGUUGCCGGCGGUGUAGAGUAGGAAUGGAUUCGCUCUACGUGGGGCACCAGGGACCUUGGGACCAGGGAAGGUCAGCAGACAGGGCCGAGCUCCCCGGACGUGUUUCUGGGCAGAGGAGGGCCGGUGGGUGGAGCCAGCCCCGGGAGGCGCAGACCUGCAGCGGCGGGGUGGCUCGGGGCCUCCGGGCGGUAGAGGGCGGCCUCGCCUGCGGCAGCGGCUCUCGGAGUCCAGCUCCGCGCCUUCCGGGCGACCCGGUGACCUCGGACGGCGGGCCGCGUCGGCCGGGCAUGGCGGCUUGGAGCCCGGCCGCGGCGGCGCCUAUGCUCCGCGGGACGCGCGGGGUUCUGUCCUCAGAAGAGGUCCAGCCCACCCCAAUCUUACCUAGGCCCGCAACAUCAAGUUUCUGCCUCUCUGCAGAACCCUCAGACAGCCUCAACCCGGGUCUUUCUCCUGACCUGCAUUUCAGCUGCCUGCUGGAAAACAGACUUCUUUGCAGCUUCCUCUUCUCCACUGUGCCCAGCGGAUGUUUGCCUCGCAGACUGAGGGGGAACUCAGAGUGACCCAAAUUCUCAAAGAAAAGUUUCCUCAAGCCACAGCUAUCAAAGUCACCGACAUUUCAGGAGGCUGUGGAGCAAUGUAUGAAAUCAAAAUCGAGUCAGAAGAAUUUAAGGAGAAGAGAACUGUUCAGCAGCACCAGAUGGUAAAUCAGGUCAGUAAAGGCACUAAAAGAAGAAAUCAAAGGGAUGCAUGGAUUACGGAUAUUUACCUCCAUCCCCAAACACUGACCACGCCCUGGCUGUAUAGAUGCUGCUUUACGACCUUGGACAAACUUGAUGGACACAGUUCCUCCCCAGGCAUUUGCCAAAAACUUGCCUAUUUUGUUCAUAGACAUUUCCAUAUUAUAAUUAUAGAAGAAUAUGUUCUUUAUUUAGGUAUUAAAGGCAACAGCUUUUGAA